Pezoporus flaviventris is the source of this 1155-nucleotide RNA transcript. It is a transcript of the gene named family with sequence similarity 174 member A, with no coding region annotated. The transcript is spliced from 4 exons. The record is from RefSeq and is a predicted model, not a curated record. NCBI's taxonomy places the organism in Eukaryota, Metazoa, Chordata, Aves, Psittaciformes, Psittacidae.
CCAGGUCUCCAGGCGCUCCCAUGGCAGCGGCGGGCGGCCGGCGAGCAGCGCUUCCGCUUCCGGCGGCCAGACAACGGCAGGGCCCGGCCGCGCUAAGGCCGCGGCGGGCGGCGGGGUGCGGUGGUGGGAAUCUGCGCCGGGGAGGAGCAGAGGCCGACAUGUGGCCGCCGCCGCUGCCCUGGCUGCUGGCGGGGCUGCUGCUAGCCGCCCCUUGCGGGGAGGCUGCGGCGGCGGCCCUUCACCGCCGGAGUGCCAACAUCGCCUCCCCGCUCCCCACCGACGUGGCCGGCGGGGCCGCCACACGAAGCAGCAGCAGCAGUCGCUUGGCCGAGGUGUCGGCGCCGCCCGAGCAGGGCCAGCCGAUGACCCAGCGCGCGCUGUCCGUGCUGGUGCUGGCCAGCGCCGCCCUCAUCGUCUACUUCGUAAUCCGGACCGUGCGGAUCAGAAGGCGAAGCAGAAAAACCCGAAGGUAUGGCGUUUUGGAUACAAACACAGAAAACAUGGAGCUGACCCCAUUAGAGCAAGAUGAUGAUGAUGAUGAUACAACACUAUUUGAUGCCAGUCAUCCUCGAAGUUAGAGAAGGGAUGUCAAGAUCACUUGAAUUUUAAAUGGAUAGGAAUUUAGUGGGCAAGAAGAUAAACACCAUUUGUCUUCAGCAUGUGAGUUCCAGAGAAAUGGAGGGGAAGAGAAGUACGUGCCUUUCAGUGAAAGAGCUUAAUCUUAGAACCAGAGAAGGAGACUGCUUCAUGCAAGGAAUAAGAAGCAAGAGGGUGUGCAAACUGGGGGGACUAAUUUAAUUUGUGUAUAUUAUAGCAUCCUUAAUUUGUUGCAAUAAAUACUGUACCAAUUUGUUGUACCUUUUUGUAUAUAAAGGAUUCUAAAUGUAAAGCCUACAGAGGGAGAGUGCACUAAAAUGAAAACCUAUUUGGAAGGGAGAUUACUUUUAAAACAGGGUAUUUUUUUGCUUGUUACAAAUCUUGUAUGCCAUAAGUGUGGUAUACACUUUUUCUACUGUUACCUGGAAUGUUGACAUAUUUUUUUUGCUGAUAUUAAAUUGUAAGUGAACAUAGCAUCUGUGGACCCUUCAGAAUUGUUAGAACUUGCUUUUAGUUCAGGAGAUGCUUUAUCCUUUACAAAUAAAAAGCCAAACUACU